Molecule: small nuclear RNA, 106 nt
Organism: Suncus etruscus (white-toothed pygmy shrew)
Lineage: Eukaryota; Metazoa; Chordata; Mammalia; Eulipotyphla; Soricidae
Source: RefSeq, a predicted model, not a curated record
GUGCUAGCUUCAGCAGCACAUAUACUAAAAUUGGAACGAAACAGAGAAAAUUAGCAUACCCUCCAAAAAAAAGACAGUACCACUCACUGACAAUUCCUUCUCUCAA